AUGGUAGUAGUAGAAACUGAAGUUCUCUUUUUGAAUCCGCAGGAUAGAUAACAGUUGGGCCACACCAGUGUGAGUCUCUCCAUGUUGCCCCAAUAGUGACCUGGAGGGACUUUCUUCCCUCUUUUAGAGAGAGGAUAGGGUGUUUGGUCCAUAGCACCUCAGUUCUGGUCCUCU
This 174-nucleotide small RNA is filed under the name Castor canadensis (American beaver). Its description in RNAcentral is "TUC338 (ENSCCNG00000027900.1)". Lineage: Eukaryota; Metazoa; Chordata; Mammalia; Rodentia; Castoridae. The record is from RNAcentral.